UAUGUAGGCGGCGCUGUUAGUCGGGUGUGAAAUCCCUCGGCUCAACCGAGGAAUUGCGCCCGAUACUGCAGUGCUUGAGGGAGACAGAGGUAAGCGGAACUGAUGGUGGAGCGGUGAAAUGCGUUGAUAUCAUCAGGAACACCGGUGGCGAAAGCGGCUUACUGGGUCUCUUCUGACGCUGAGAUACGAAAGCUAGGGGAGCGAAGG
RNAcentral lists this ribosomal RNA (207 nucleotides) under uncultured bacterium. Its description in RNAcentral is "partial 16S ribosomal RNA". It matches the Rfam family "Bacterial small subunit ribosomal RNA", at positions 568 to 774 of the family's 1533-position model. The record is from RNAcentral.